UUUUAUACGCAUUUUAGAUAAAUAAUAUUUUCACUAAGUUUGAACAUAAUUGUUAUAAAAUAUUCAUCACGUGUGCCUCAAUAGCGAGUAUAUUUUAAGAAAGAGACGCAUUCGUAUUAAAUCUUUACACCACUUAUCUCUACCAGUUUUUUUCAUAAACUUUCUCUACAAUAUUACUAAUUACAAGGGUGGUUUUUUCCAAAAAAAAAU
Molecule: long non-coding RNA, 210 nt
Filed under: Panax ginseng (ginseng)
Lineage: Eukaryota; Viridiplantae; Streptophyta; Magnoliopsida; Apiales; Araliaceae
Description: long non-coding RNA (PGIN_LNC008192)
Source: RNAcentral